GGAUGGAAUCUUGAUUGACUGAGUGGCGGACGGGUGAGUAACGCGUGGAUAACCUGCCUCACACUGGGGGAUAACAGUUAGAAAUGACUGCUAAUACCGCAUAAGCGCACAGUGCCGCAUGGCAGUGUGUGAAAAACUCCGGUGGUGUGAGAUGGAUCCGCGUCUGAUUAGCCAGUUGGCGGGGUAACGGCCCACCAAAGCGACGAUCAGUAGCCGACCUGAGAGGGUGACCGGCCACAUUGGGACUGAGACACGGCCCAAACUCCUACGGGAGGCAGCAGUGGGGAAUAUUGCACAAUGGGCGAAAGCCUGAUGCAGCGACGCCGCGUGAGUGAAGAAGUAUUUCGGUAUGUAAAGCUCUAUCAGCAGGGA
RNAcentral lists this ribosomal RNA (372 nucleotides) under Enterocloster clostridioformis. Its description in RNAcentral is "bacterial SSU rRNA". It matches the Rfam family "Bacterial small subunit ribosomal RNA", at positions 70 to 445 of the family's 1533-position model. Lineage: Bacteria; Bacillati; Bacillota; Clostridia; Lachnospirales; Lachnospiraceae. The record is from RNAcentral.